RNAcentral lists this ribosomal RNA (1508 nucleotides) under Acinetobacter baumannii. Its description in RNAcentral is "partial 23S ribosomal RNA". It matches the Rfam family "Bacterial large subunit ribosomal RNA", at positions 1 to 1563 of the family's 2925-position model. Lineage: Bacteria; Pseudomonadati; Pseudomonadota; Gammaproteobacteria; Moraxellales; Moraxellaceae. The record is from RNAcentral.
AGUCAAGUAAUUAAGUGCAUGUGGUGGAUGCCUUGGCAGUCAGAGGCGAUGAAAGACGUGAUAGCCUGCGAAAAGCUCCGGGGAGGCGGCAAAUAUCCUUUGAUCCGGAGAUGUCUGAAUGGGGGAACCCACCUACUUUAAGGUAGGUAUUGCAACAUGAAUACAUAGUGUUGCAAGGCGAACGAGGGGAAGUGAAACAUCUCAGUACCCUUAGGAAAAGAAAUCAAUUGAGAUUCCCUCAGUAGCGGCGAGCGAACGGGGAUCAGCCCAUUAAGUUAUGUGUGUUUUAGUGGAACGCUCUGGGAAGUGCGAACGUAGAGGGUGAUAUUCCCGUACACGAAAGGGCACACAUAAUGAUGACGAGUAGGGCGAGGCACGUGAAACCUUGUCUGAAUAUGGGGGGACCAUCCUCCAAGGCUAAAUACUCCUGACUGACCGAUAGUGAACCAGUACCGUGAGGGAAAGGCGAAAAGAACCCCUGUGAGGGGAGUGAAAUAGAUCCUGAAACCGCAUGCAUACAAGCAGUGGGAGCACCUUCGUGGUGUGACUGCGUACCUUUUGUAUAAUGGGUCAGCGACUUAUAUUCAGUAGCGAGGUUAACCGUAUAGGGGAGCCGUAGAGAAAUCGAGUCUUAAUAGGGCGUUUAGUUGCUGGGUAUAGACCCGAAACCAGGCGAUCUAUCCAUGAGCAGGUUGAAGGUUGGGUAACACUAACUGGAGGACCGAACCCACUGUCGUUGAAAAGCCAGGGGAUGACUUGUGGAUAGGGGUGAAAGGCUAAUCAAGCCUGGUGAUAGCUGGUUCUCCCCGAAAGCUAUUUAGGUAGCGCCUCGGACGAAUACCAUAGGGGGUAGAGCACUGUUUCGGCUAGGGGGUCAUCCCGACUUACCAAACCGAUGCAAACUCCGAAUACCUAUGAGUACUAUCCGGGAGACAGACUGCGGGUGCUAACGUCCGUAGUCAAGAGGAAAACAAUCCAGACCGCCAGCUAAGGCCCCAAAAUCAUAGUUAAGUGGGAAACGAUGUGGGAAGGCAUAGACAGCUAGGAGGUUGGCUUAGAAGCAGCCACCCUUUAAAGAAAGCGUAAUAGCUCACUAGUCGAGUCGGCCUGCGCGGAAGAUGUAACGGGGCUAAAACUAUGUGCCGAAGCUGCGGAUGUAUACUUUGUAUACGUGGUAGGGGAGCGUUCUGUAAGCCGAUGAAGGUGUGUUGAGAAGCAUGCUGGAGGUAUCAGAAGUGCGAAUGCUGACGUGAGUAACGACAAAACGGGUGAAAAACCCGUUCGCCGAAAGACCAAGGGUUCCAGUCCAACGUUAAUCGGGGCUGGGUGAGUCGACCCCUAAGGCGAGGCCGAAAGGCGUAGUCGAUGGGAAAAUGGUUAAUAUUCCAUUACUUCUGUGUAAUGCGAUGAGAGGACGGAGAAGGCUAAAUCAGCCUGGCGUUGGUUGUCCAGGUGAAAGGAUGUAGGCAUGUAUCUUAGGCAAAUCCGGGGUACUCUAUGCUGAGAUC